GUCCCUGUAGUGCAAUGGAUAGCGCGUUGGACUUCUAAUCCAAAGGUCGUGAAAUUCGAAUCCUACCUGGGAUG
Trichonephila inaurata madagascariensis is the source of this 74-nucleotide non-coding RNA. The record is from the annotation of a GenBank genome assembly. NCBI's taxonomy places the organism in Eukaryota, Metazoa, Arthropoda, Arachnida, Araneae, Nephilidae.